UAGGUGGGUGCUUGUUGGUAAAGCAUUUGAUUGUUAAUUAAAAGUUUGCAGGAUCGAAGCCUGUUCGCCUAG
Molecule: transfer RNA, 72 nt
Filed under: Cynopoecilus melanotaenia
Lineage: Eukaryota; Metazoa; Chordata; Actinopteri; Cyprinodontiformes; Rivulidae
Description: tRNA-Asn
Rfam family: tRNA
About the family: Transfer RNA (tRNA) molecules are approximately 80 nucleotides in length. Their secondary structure includes four short double-helical elements and three loops (D, anti-codon, and T loops).
Source: RNAcentral